This 349-nucleotide ribosomal RNA is filed under the name uncultured bacterium. RNAcentral's name for it is "bacterial SSU rRNA". It matches the Rfam family "Bacterial small subunit ribosomal RNA", at positions 29 to 407 of the family's 1533-position model. The record is from RNAcentral.
AACGAACGCUGGCGGCAGGCCUAACACAUGCAAGUCGAGCGGGCACCGCAAGGUGUCAGCGGCAGACGGGAGAGUAACACGUGGGAACGCGCCCUUCGGUUCGGAAUAACUCAGGGAAACUUGAGCUAAUACCGGAUACGCCUUACGGGAAGAUUAUCGCCGAAGGAACGGCCCGCGUCUGAUUAGCUAGUUGGUGAGGUAAUGGCUCACCAAGGCUACGAUCAGUAGCUGGCUAAGAGGAUGAUCAGCCUCACUGGGACUGAGACACGGCCCACGACUCCUACGGGAGGCAGCAGUGGGGAAUCUUGCGCAAUGGCCGAAAGGCUGACGCAGCGACGCCGCGUGGGGA